RNAcentral lists this ribosomal RNA (254 nucleotides) under uncultured bacterium. Its description in RNAcentral is "partial 16S ribosomal RNA". It matches the Rfam family "Bacterial small subunit ribosomal RNA", at positions 524 to 776 of the family's 1533-position model. The record is from RNAcentral.
UACGUAGGGUCCGAGCGUUGUCCGGAGUUACUGGGCGUAAAGGGCGCGCAGGCGGCGGUGCUGGCCCGGCGUGAAACGCCCCCGGCUCAACCGGGGAGGGUCGUCGGGGACCGCACCGCUUGAGGGCGGUAGGGGCUGGUGGAAUGCCUGGUGUAGUGGUGAAAUGCGUAGAGAUCAGGCGGAACACCCGUGGCGAAGGCGGCCAGCUGGGCCGACCCUGACGCUGAGGCGCGAAGGCGUGGGGAGCGAACAGG